UAUAUUGCUCUCUCUCUCUCUCUCCCUCUGUUUCUUGCCCUUAGCGUUUUGCGGAAGCUUUGGUUUCUCGACGCUACCUCAAUGCUGCAUUGUUCUCACUGUCUCAUACACUGCGAAGCCGAUCGCUUCGAUGACUUCGUAUGUUGUUCGGGUUGCGGUAAGGUGCUUGGCCAGUUCUUUGGAGGAAAAUACAUUGAUCAUAGCAAACCUAUGCUCGGAAAGGACACGAAAUUGAAGAAGAGGAAGACCGAGAAGAAGCAGAAACAUGAGAAGAUUGAGAUGGAUUCCGCGGAUCUGCAACUCGCAACAUGAUUUUUUUCACGGCAGUUUUGACUAAUAACGACUUAAAACUCAACAAUUAUUUGAAUCAUCACCAAAUUUUUUUUAAAGGAACCAUUAUUCUGAGACAUUGAUCCUCCGACGUUUUCGAGUUCCAGUUUGUUGCCCUAUUUUGUUCGCAAUCAAUAAUGGCCCUCUCCUGAUAA
Molecule: long non-coding RNA, 485 nt
Organism: Cucurbita pepo subsp. pepo (vegetable marrow)
Lineage: Eukaryota; Viridiplantae; Streptophyta; Magnoliopsida; Cucurbitales; Cucurbitaceae
Source: RefSeq, a predicted model, not a curated record